GACGAACGCUGGCGGCGUGCUUAACACAUGCAAGUCGAACGGAAAGGCCCUGCUUUUGUGGGGUGCUCGAGUGGCGAAAGGGUGAGUAACACGUGAGUAACCUGCCCUUGACUUUGGGAUAACUUCAGGAAACUGGGGCUAAUACCGGAUAGGAGCUCCUGCUGCAUGGUGGGGGUUGGAAAGUUUCGGCGGUUGGGGAUGGACUCGCGGCUUAUCAGCUUGUUGGUGGGGUAGUGGCUUACCAAGGCUUUGACGGGUAGCCGGCCUGAGAGGGUGACCGGCCACAUUGGGACUGAGAUACGGCCCAGACUCCUACGGGAGGCAGCAGUGGGGAGUAUUGCACAAUGGGCGGAAGCCUGAUGCAGCAACGCCGCGUGCGGGAUGACGGCCUUCGGGUUGUAAACCGCUUUCGCCUGUGACGAAGCGUGAGUGACGGUAAUGGGUAAAGAAGCACCGGCUAACUACGUG
This 468-nucleotide ribosomal RNA is filed under the name uncultured bacterium. RNAcentral's name for it is "partial 16S ribosomal RNA". It matches the Rfam family "Bacterial small subunit ribosomal RNA", at positions 28 to 507 of the family's 1533-position model. The record is from RNAcentral.